CCCUUAGAUGUUCUGGGCCGCACGCGCGCUACACUGACGAAUGCAACGAGCUUAUAACCUUGGCCGAAAGGUCUGGGUAAUCUCCAAAUUUCGUCGUGAUGGGGAUAGAUUAUUGCAAUUAUUAAUCUUCAACGAGGAAUGCCUAGUAAGCGCAAGUCAUCAGCUUGCGUUGAUUACGUCCCUGCCCUUUGUACACACCGCCCGUCGCUCCUACCGAUUGAAUGGUCCGGUGAAGCGCUCGGACCGCGGCCUCUUGACGGUUCGCUGUCGAUUGGCUGUGGGAAGUUCGUUAAACCUUAUCAUUUAGAGGAAGGAGAGGUCGUAACA
Molecule: ribosomal RNA, 327 nt
Filed under: uncultured eukaryote
Lineage: Eukaryota
Description: partial 18S ribosomal RNA
Rfam family: Eukaryotic small subunit ribosomal RNA
Source: RNAcentral